GAUGAACGCUGGCGGUGUGCCUAAUACAUGCAAGUCGUACGGCAGCACAGAGGAGCUUGCUCCUUGGGUGGCGAGUGGCGGACGGGUGAGGAAUACAUCGGAAUCUACUUUUUCGUGGGGGAUAACGUAGGGAAACUUACGCUAAUACCGCAUACGACCUACGGGUGAAAGCAGGGGAUCUUCGGACCUUGCGCGAUUGAAUGAGCCGAUGUCGGAUUAGCUAGUUGGCGGGGUAAAGGCCCACCAAGGCGACGAUCCGUAGCUGGUCUGAGAGGAUGAUCAGCCACACUGGAACUGAGACACGGUCCAGACUCCUACGGGAGGCAGCAGUGGGGAAUAUUGGACAAUGGGCGCAAGCCUGAUCCAGCCAUACCGCGUGGGUGAAGAAGGCCUUCGGGUUGUAAAGCCCUUUUGUUGGGAAAGAAAUCCAGCCGGCUAAUACCUGGUUGGGAUGACGGUACCCAAAGAAUAAGCACCGGCUAACUUCGUGCCAGCCGCCGCCGUAA
Molecule: ribosomal RNA, 506 nt
Filed under: uncultured bacterium
Lineage: Bacteria
Description: partial 16S ribosomal RNA
Rfam family: Bacterial small subunit ribosomal RNA
Source: RNAcentral